GACGGCCAGAAGUCCAGGGCUAGGAGCCUCAGCCGGCGGACGCCAGGAAACAGGAAAGUAUUUUAUCAGAAGAAUUCGUAGAAGUAGAAUCUGUUUGUCUUCAGUUAAACAAAAGAAGAACCUCAUUGCUUUCCAACUGGGCCCCGGCCAUUUUCCAGUUGAAACAUCAAAUAUUUUAUUUGUGUCUUUCACUGCCAAUUAAAGGGCAACAGAAAUGGUACAGGCUCCCUCUGCAGUGGAAUUACCCUUAUGUCUUUUCUGUCUAUGCUGAUCCACCUGAUCUUGAACUGGUGCUAUUCCAUGGGGAAAAUUGGAACAUGGGGCAAUUAACACUUUCUCCACUUUAUCCCAUCAACAGGAAAUUGAAAUAUAACCAACUAACUCAGGAGACAUCAUGGAAGAUGUCACACAGUGAAUGAUGAUGAAGCAGAAUUUUUAAAAUGUGUAGGAUUACGAGAAGUGGGGUCAUUUUUCUUUGUGUAUGGUAUUGCUGAUGCAGUUUAAUGCUCCAUUACUUCUAAAUUUUCAUCAUAAGCUAGAUUUUCCAGUUGUGGUUUCUAUAAAGAAAAACAAACAUUCUGAAGACAGUUUUUCCAGAUUUAUUCCAGAUAUCGAUGAUUAACUUUUGAAG
This 631-nucleotide long non-coding RNA is filed under the name Homo sapiens (human). RNAcentral's name for it is "long intergenic non-protein coding RNA 879". The record is from RNAcentral. Lineage: Eukaryota; Metazoa; Chordata; Mammalia; Primates; Hominidae.